CGUUGUUCCGCAGCGAUCGUGCUCUCCGACGGGGAUGCCGCGUAUGGACGGAUCGUUGAGACUGGGAAAGCCGAACGAAAGUUCGCCUUGAAUUUUGACUCACUGCCCAUGGAGGGUGUUAGGCCCGUCACGUCGGCUCCGAGAGGAAAGAUUCGCCAGUUUCGCUCGAUCUCGUCCGGGAGUCGGGUUGCUCGGAAAUGCAGCCCAAAGAUAGGUGGUAAACUCCAUCUAAGACUAAAUAUCCCCGUGAGACCGAUAGCGAACAAGUACCGCGAGGGAAAGUUGAAAAGGACUUUGAAGAGAGAGUUCAAUAGAACGUGAAACCGUCACGAGCCAUAAACGGACGGGG
Molecule: ribosomal RNA, 349 nt
Filed under: Monokalliapseudes schubarti
Lineage: Eukaryota; Metazoa; Arthropoda; Malacostraca; Tanaidacea; Kalliapseudidae
Description: eukaryotic LSU rRNA
Rfam family: Eukaryotic large subunit ribosomal RNA
Source: RNAcentral